GCUUACCAUGCAGUCGAGGGGCAGCAGGAUCUAGCAAUAGAUUGCUGGCGACCGGCGCACGGCUGAGUAACACGUAUCCAACCUGCCGAUAACUCGGGGAUAGCCUUUCGAAAGAAAGAUUAAUACCCGAUGGUAUAAUCAGACCGCAUGGUUUGAUUAUUAAAGAAUUUCGGUUAUCGAUGGGGAUGCGUUCCAUUAGGCAGUUGGUGAGGUAACGGCUCACCAAACCUUCGAUGGAUAGGGGUUCUGAGAGGAAGGUCCCCCACAUUGGAACUGAGACACGGUCCAAACUCCUACGGGAGGCAGCAGUGAGGAAUAUUGGUCAAUGGGCGCAGGCCUGAACCAGCCAAGUAGCGUGAAGGAUGACUGCCCUAUGGGUUGUAAACUUCUUUUAUAUGGGAAUAAAGUUUUCCACGUGUGGAAUUUUGUAUGUACCAUAUGAAUAAGGAUCGGCUAACUCCGUGCCAGCAGCCGCGGUAAUACGGAGGAUCCGAGCGUUAUCCGGAUUUAUUGGGUUUAAAGGGAGCGUAGGUGGACUGGUAAGUCAGUUGUGAAAGUUUGCGGCUCAACCGUAAAAUUGCAGUUGAUACUGGCUGUCUUGAGUACAGUAGAGGUGGGCGGAAUUCGUGGUGUAGCGGUGAAAUGCUUAGAUAUCACGAAGAACUCCGAUUGCGAAGGCAGCUCACUGGACUGCAACUGACACUGAUGCUCGAAAGUGUGGGUAUCAAACAGGAUUAGAUACCCUGCUAGUCCACACAGUAAACGAUGAAUACUCGCUGUUUGCGAUAUACAGUAAGCGGCCAAGCGAAAGCAUUAAGUAUUCCACCUGGGGAGUACGCCGGCAACGGUGAAACUCAAAGGAAUGACGG
Molecule: ribosomal RNA, 869 nt
Filed under: uncultured bacterium
Lineage: Bacteria
Description: bacterial SSU rRNA
Rfam family: Bacterial small subunit ribosomal RNA
Source: RNAcentral